CACAAAAGGAGGGAGUAGGGGAGACGCUCAACUUUCUCCCACCUUCCAGAGCUGUGGGGAGCUUGCAGAAGAGAUUGGGGGCUCCCACUGCCUGUCCCCACCAACCCACCCCUUUGGCUCAUUCUCUCUUGGUUUGCCUAUUGGUUGUAGAGUUGGAGGUUGGCGCGACUCUGCUGCUCUCCACGGGAAGGAAGCACUCCCCCAUAUUAAAAAGAGCGGAGAUAUUAAAAGAGAGGCGAACCCAUGCCCAGCUGCACCGCGUCCACCAUG
RNAcentral lists this non-coding RNA (270 nucleotides) under Mus musculus (house mouse). The record is from RNAcentral. Lineage: Eukaryota; Metazoa; Chordata; Mammalia; Rodentia; Muridae.